This 1105-nucleotide long non-coding RNA is filed under the name Physcomitrium patens. RNAcentral describes it as "long non-coding RNA (PPAT_LNC007821)". The record is from RNAcentral. Lineage: Eukaryota; Viridiplantae; Streptophyta; Bryopsida; Funariales; Funariaceae.
AGACGCGAUGAUAUUUCAUCAACAGUAUGCUAGGGUUCUCGAAUCUUGUAGGAAGGAAAUGCGAAUGAGGUGGACGUCAGGACAACGUGGAGAAGUCAUGCCUUUCUUUCUGAUAGAUGCCAUAACCGCAAGCCUGACCAUCACCAAUGUUGCAUGUGUGCAGGUACCCUGUCUUACACAGUAGACUUCGAAACACAGAGAGCAGUGGUAACGGGAAAUGUAGAUCCCGUGGACGUGCUGCGCCGCGUUCGCAAGUCUGGGAAGCUGGCAAACCUGAUUCGCAAACCCCCGCCUCCUCCUGCUCCAGAGCCAGAGCCACCUAAGGAGGAGCCCAAGCCAGAAGAAAAGAAGGAAGAACCUAAGAAAGAGGAGCCAAAGAAAGAAGAACCUAAGCCAGAGGAGAAGAAGGAAGAACCCAAACCCGAAGAGAAGAAAGAAGAAUCCAAGAAAGAGGUAAAUCUAUUCUAUUCUCUUUGCUGUGAGGUGCCCACGUUCAUAGUCCAAGUCUCCCACAAAUGCACAAUCUCCGAGUUAAAAACACUGUCAUGAGCUUCACUCCUAUGGACAAUUUAACCAUCGCAUCAUCGUAUGAAUAUGUAAGCUAGCGCGUUAGUCCUAUUAAGCACAAAUUCCUCCUUAAGCUCAACGAUCGGUUUCAGAUUUCUUGUAGUGAUUAAAAUUUGCGGAGGUAGAAAAAGAAAAAGCAGAAGCAAAAAAACAAGAUGUUCAAUUCAUUGCUUGCGAAAGAUUGGCACGGUGUGUGCAUGUGCGCUCCUACCUCCCAAUCCUGUCAAAAUCUUCAAGCCGAGAUGUGAACAAUGUGCAGUCAUCGAAUUGUACCAACUUCCGAGCCUUUGUGGCGAUUCAUUGAAAUGUCCGGACACAACGUUCUCUCAUGAAAAAUGUAAUGCACAACCCAGCAUUCUCUAUCGCUCAAGCUCCAAAUUGGGCUUUGCUUAUAUUUCAUGAGCGACAGUCAUUGCUGUUUCUACCCAUGUAAAGCCACUUCCAUUCAAAAGCUUCAUCAACUUCUGAGACCAGAUAGAAUUGCAGACCAGGGAGUAAAAUUUGAAAGCAACACAUGAGUCGUAAGCAAUAGAAAGAA